GACGGGCCGCACAAGCGGUGGAUUAUGUGGAUUAAUUCGAUGCAACGCGAAAACCUUACCUACCCUUGACAUGCUAGGAACUUGCCAGAGAUGGCUUGGUGCCCGAAAGGGAACCUAGACACAGGUGCUGCAUGGCUGUCGUCAGCUCGUGUCGUGAGAUGUUGGGUUAAGUCCCGCAACGAGCGCAACCCUUGUCAUUAAUUGCCAUCAUUCAGUUGGGCACUUUAAUGAGACUGCCGGUGACAAACCGGAGGAAGGUGGGGAUGACGUCAAGUCCUCAUGGCCCUUAUGGGUAGGGCUUCACACGUAAUACAAUGGUCGGUACAGAGGGUUGCCAACCCGCGAGGGGGAGCCAAUCCCAGAAAACCGAUCGUAGUCCGGAUUGCAGUCUGCAACUCGACUGCAUGAAGUCGGAAUCGCUAGUAAUCGCGGAUCAGCAUGUCGCGGUGAAUACGUUCCCGGGCCUU
Molecule: ribosomal RNA, 467 nt
Filed under: uncultured Methylophilaceae bacterium
Lineage: Bacteria; Pseudomonadati; Pseudomonadota; Betaproteobacteria; Nitrosomonadales; Methylophilaceae
Description: bacterial SSU rRNA
Rfam family: Bacterial small subunit ribosomal RNA
Source: RNAcentral